Molecule: ribosomal RNA, 402 nt
Filed under: Salmonella enterica
Lineage: Bacteria; Pseudomonadati; Pseudomonadota; Gammaproteobacteria; Enterobacterales; Enterobacteriaceae
Description: partial 23S ribosomal RNA
Rfam family: Bacterial large subunit ribosomal RNA
Source: RNAcentral
GACAUCAGGAGGUUAGUGCAAUGGCAUAAGCCAGCUUGACUGCGAGCGUGACGGCGCGAGCAGGUGCGAAAGCAGGUCAUAGUGAUCCGGUGGUUCUGAAUGGAAGGGCCAUCGCUCAACGGAUAAAAGGUACUCCGGGGAUAACAGGCUGAUACCGCCCAAGAGUUCAUAUCGACGGCGGUGUUUGGCACCUCGAUGUCGGCUCAUCACAUCCUGGGGCUGAAGUAGGUCCCAAGGGUAUGGCUGUUCGCCAUUUAAAGUGGUACGCGAGCUGGGUUUAGAACGUCGUGAGACAGUUCGGUCCCUAUCUGCCGUGGGCGCUGGAGAACUGAGGGGGGCUGCUCCUAGUACGAGAGGACCGGAGUGGACGCAUCACUGGUGUUCGGGUUGUCAUGCCAAUGG